RNAcentral lists this long non-coding RNA (3847 nucleotides) under Homo sapiens (human). RNAcentral describes it as "HSALNT0202511". The record is from RNAcentral. Lineage: Eukaryota; Metazoa; Chordata; Mammalia; Primates; Hominidae.
CAAUGCUGCUUGACCCCAAUACAAACUCGACAGUAGUUCCAAAUAGCCAGAAAAUGGCACUUUGAAUUUUUCCAUCCUGCAAAAUCUAAAUAAUUCUUGUCGUAAAAUAGGCAAACGGUCUGAGGUGCCUGACGUCCAGGCAUUCUUUUACACAUCAGUCCCUUCCUAGUCUCUGUGCCCAGUGCAACUCAUCCCAAAUCUUCCUUCUUUCCCUCCCGCCUGUCCCCUCAGUACCAACCCCAAGUGUGGCUGAGUCUUUCUAAUCUUCCUUUUCUACAGACCCAUCAGACCUCUCCCUUCCUCCCCAGGCUGCUCCUCGCCAGGCCGAGCUAGGUCCCAAUUCUUCCUCAGCCUCUGCUCCUCCACCCUAUAAUCUUUUUAUCACCUCCCCUCCUCACACCUGGUCCUGCUUACAGCUUCGUUCCCUGACUAGCCCUCCCCCUCCUGCCCAGCAAUUUACUCUUAAAAAGGUGGCUGGAGCCAAAGGCAUAGUCAAGGUUAAUGCUCCUUUUUCUUUAUCCCAAAUCAGAAGCGUUUAGGCUCUUUUUCAUCAAAUAUAAAAACCCAGCCCAGUUCAUGACUUGUUUGGCAGCAACCCUGAGACGCUUUACAGCCCUAGACCCUAAAAGGUCAAAAGGCCGUCUUAUUCUCAAUAUACAUUUUAUUACCCAAUCUGCUCCCGACAUUAAAUAAAACUCCAAAAAUUGGAAUCUGGCCCUCAAACCCCAAAACAGGACUUAAUUAACCUCACCUUCAAGGUGUACAAUAACAGAAAAAAGUUGCAAUUCCUUGCAUCCACUGUGAGACAAACCCCAGCCACAUCUCCAGCACACAAGAACUUCCAAACGCCUGAACCGCAGCAGCCAGGCGUUCCUCCAGAACCUCCUCCCAUAUGAGCUUGCUACACAUGCCGGAAAUCUGGCCACUGGACCAAGGAAUGCCCGCAGCCCAGGAUUCCUCCUAAGCCACGUCCCAUCUGUGUGGGACCCCACUGAAAAUCGCACUGUUCAACUCACCUGGCAGCCACUCCCAGAGCCCCUGGAACUCUGGCCCAAGGCUCUCUGACUGACUCCUUCCCAGGUCUUCUCGGCUUAGCGGCUGAAGACUGACACUGCCUGAUCGCCUUGGAAGCCCCCUAGACCAUCACGGACGCCGAGCUUCGGGUAACUCUUACAGUGGAAGGGACGCGCAUAAAAAGAAACACAGAGGACACCCUGCCGGUUCCGAAGCAGUAGAAGUCAACGGCGGGUCUGCGAAGGCAGCAAACAGCAAUGGUGGACAGCGAGCCAAAGCUCAGCUCAAGCCAUAACAAACACGGACCAGAAGAGUGUGCAGUUGCAAGAUUUAAUAGAGUGAAAACAGAGCUCCCUUACAAUGGGAAGGGACCCAAAGGGAUUUACCACUCCCUGCUCGAAUGCCUGGGUUUAUAUCCCGAUCAUUGCCCCUCCCCCUGUGCUCUCAGUGAUAUAUGAUUUAGCUAUUUCUUUACCUUCUGGUUUUAGCCUAAUUUGUAAUUUAGUGAGCCCUCUUCACUACCUGAUUGGUCGGGUGUGAGCUGAGUUACAAGCCCUGUAUUUAAAGGUGGGUGUGGUCACCUUCCCCAGCUAGGUUUAGGAAUUCUUAGUCGGACUAGGAAAUCCAGCUACUGCUGUCUCUCAAUAGGACAUGAUCACUCCAUCAUGAUGUCAGUCUAAACAUAAUUCUUAUUUGAGUAAAGCAUAAACUUUGGCUGUAUCAGAACAACUGAUUGAGAAUUAAAGAAAGCCUGUAAUAUUAAAUUAUAUUUUUCCAUUUUAGAGAUUAUAUUUUCAGAAUGAUUAUUUAAUCCCGAAAAGUUUGAUUUUUUUGACUAUCAAUAUCAAUGGUAUUCUUUCAGUGUAAUUUCUACUACCCUUAUAGAAUGAACAUAAUUAAACAGACACAGAGAGAGACAGAGAGAGAAAGCAAGGAGAGAAGGAAAGGAAGAAAGGAAGGAAGGAAGGAAGGAAGGAAGGAAGAAAGAAAGAAAGAAAGAAAGAAAGAAAGAAAGAAAGAAAGAAAGAGAGAGAAAGAAAGCAGAAAGAAAGAGAAAGAAAGAGAAAGAAAAAAAGAAAGAAAAAGAAAACACUGAGAAUUGAGCAUUAACUGAACAACAGUUUUGUGAGACUUGAAUAUUUUUUAAAAACAUUUUACACUAUGUUUAUAUAUAUUUAAGAAAAUAAUUGUUUUAAAAUUAUGAGCUACAAAAAUACUACUCAGUUUAAUUUGUCUUUUAGAAAUAUUAAACAUUACUUAUUUUAACCCUCCUCAAAUAAGAUUACUAUUCAAGAAGAGUAAAAGAUUACUUGAAUUUCUGAAGAAAUCCAGGGUCAAGCCUUGUGACUUUGUAUUUAUAGCACUUGGCCAUAAUUAAAUCUCCAUCAUGUUUAGUGAGAUCCUUAACAGAGUAUCCUAUCUUUUUGAGAUAACAUUGCAAUUACUAUAUCAUUCAAUUUAAAAUUACUAGAUAUGCUCUUAUCAUUUGGCAGAUGUUUUAAAUGUUGUUAUCAUACUUGUAGAAAUGACAUAGGCUGGAACAAACAUUCUAAUUUCUUAUAUGACAGUUUUGCAAGUUGGUUGCCAGUGAACAGAACCAGACUGGCACUUCACUAAGUAAUCUAUUUGGCAUUUAGUAUUUUAAAAAAGAAACUUAAUUAACACACAUAAAAAUAUGCUAUUUCAUAUAAAAGCAUGCUUUUUUUGUUUCUCGCCAAAAUUCAGAAUACUUGGCAAAAAUAGGCUCACAGUCUCAGUGAGUAAGAAUCCAUUUGAGGAGAGUAGCAGUUGUCCAUUUAGCUAAAGCACCACAACUUACUAUUUUUAUUUUCUAUAUAUUUUGCUAAUUUGUAUCAAAAAUGACCCCUUUAACACUUUGACUAUGUGAUUUCCAUUAUACAACAAGUUUUAAAAUUCAUGAUAAAUUGUUUCUUAGAUAAAAUAAUACAAAUAAAAUAUAUUAUGACUAUCUUAACAGACUAGCUCUUUAUUUUUAAAAAAUUGACAGGAAACAUUGCAUGUUUUUAUCAUGCACAACAUGAUGUUUUAAAGUACAUAUACAUUGUAGAAUGAUUAAAUUUAGCUAAUUACAAAUGCAUCACCUCACAUAGCACAAAAUAUUUUGAUGGGGAACAGCUUAUCACAAAUUAAGCAACGUUCAUAAACUUAAAUGACUGAAAGUGAAAAAUUAAGUCACUAAUUUCUAUAUUUGUGAACAGAAAGAAUUAUAGUUUUUCUUUCUAGCACAGAAUAUUAUAUCAUGCAUAUGAAAUAUUGGUCCCUAGAUAUGAAAUACUACUCUCAAAAGUGAACUCAAACAAUACUUGAAUUACAAUCAGUGUAUUUGUACUCUGUAAUGGAGGACCACUAUGUUUUGUACAAAUUUUAUUUAUCAUCUUAGAGUUUUAUUUGAUCAACUACAAGAAAGAGUAUAUAAUCCUAAUUUUAAGUGCCAUUAUGCAAAUUAGAUAAAGUGAUUUUGAAAGGCCUUUACAAAUGGUAAAAUGUGUGGAAUAUAAUGGCUUUUUCCACUACCUUCUAUUUUUACUGAACUCCAAGCUCUUGGUGUGAUUAUGAGACGCAAACAUUAAACAACACAAAUAAAGAAACUGAAAACUCUGGUCAAUUAUUAAUAUAGAUAUUGUACCAAAACAUCACAAGUUUAUUUUUAACAUUAAAAAAAUUUUAGAUCAUACUAGUAAGAAAAAAAUCUCAAGGUAUAAAAUCUAUAUCAACAUUUUGUUUUAUUAUUUUCAAUUGAUUAGUUUUUCCUGAGUAUUCUGUUACUAAUCCAAUGUUUUCAAUAUUUAUUAAAUUUUAAAAUAAUUAUACA